RNAcentral lists this long non-coding RNA (257 nucleotides) under Manihot esculenta (cassava). RNAcentral describes it as "long non-coding RNA (MESC_LNC011407)". The record is from RNAcentral. Lineage: Eukaryota; Viridiplantae; Streptophyta; Magnoliopsida; Malpighiales; Euphorbiaceae.
UUGUUUGAUUUAAUAAAUUAGUUAUGGAGAUGGAAGACGCUUCUCACCACCAUAUCCCUCCUUAAGCAUAAAUUAAUUAGGGAACGUCCUCUAACUAAUCACUAAUCAACAAGUUGCCAAGGAACGUCCUUGGACCUUUGGCAUCUAACAACUGUCAAUUGCAUUAAGAAAUAGAGAGACCUAAUUCUAGCUACCCAAACGCAUGGUGAUAUUGCUAAAUCAUGCAAUUUCCUUAGUUUUUACACCAAGAGUUACUU